RNAcentral lists this long non-coding RNA (811 nucleotides) under Homo sapiens (human). RNAcentral's name for it is "long intergenic non-protein coding RNA 2840". Lineage: Eukaryota; Metazoa; Chordata; Mammalia; Primates; Hominidae. The record is from RNAcentral.
GCCAUUUUCCUGCCUCAGCCUCCCGAGUAGCUGGGACUAUAGGCACCCGCCACCACGCCCGGCUAAUUUUUUGUAUUCACAGUACAGACGGGGUUUCACCGUGUUAGCCAGGAUGGUUUCGAUCUCCUGACCUCGUGAUCCGCCCGCCUCUGCCUCCCAAAGUGCUGGGAUUACAGGCGUGAGCCACCGCGCCCGGUGGAAAGGACACUUUUUUACAGUAUGAGCACUGAAACAAAAAGGCAAAGCAAGGUCUGUUCACCUUCAGCUGAGAACGUGAGGAUUGGUUCAGGAGUACAUGCGCAGGUUUGUCAUAUAAGCAAAUUAUGUGGCACAGAAGUUUGGUGUAUGGAUUAUUUCAUCACCCAGGCCGUUUCUCAGCGUUGGAUGUGCAAGCAGUUUUGAGAGAUGAAGUCAUGACUUCAAGACAAAAAAACAGGUUUGCUUAUUUUGCUACAAACCAAUAAGUUCUUCAGCCAUGCUGCAAAUCCACUGUGUAUCCAGUUCCCAUCUGCGGCCCGCACAUCAUCCCCAUGGGACUUGAGAGCAAGAGGAUCCCACGCAAAUCAUGUUGCUUGCUAUGCUGGCUCCCUGGAGAACUGGCUAAUUCUCGGGCAUGGAAUGAAAAAAUACAAGAUGAACCUGGAGAAGCUUUCUGUGUCAGAAAGUAAGAACGUGCUCAAAGAAUGAUGGGACCAUGUGAAAAGGACAUAGGAGUCUGUUUGAAAGGCAUCCCACUGGCCAAAUAUAGGAUAACUCUGAGGAUAAAAAUGUCAGUAAAGAAUUAUAACCCACUGAAAUAAAAAAUGAUAAA